Molecule: non-coding RNA, 46 nt
Organism: Triticum aestivum (bread wheat)
Lineage: Eukaryota; Viridiplantae; Streptophyta; Magnoliopsida; Poales; Poaceae
Source: Rfam
UUCAUGGAUUUUUUAAAAUCCACAAAAAAUUUCAAAUCCCUAAUAU